CCGGUGGAUGUGUCUCAACGUGACUGUUUACUGAUAAAAUAACCUUUUUAUAUUCGACGCUGUAUGUGUUUCUAUACGUGAAAAGAGGCGGUGGGACCGUAUCUAUCCUGUCGGGAAACCGAGUAGCGUUUUUCGUCGAAAUAAAUCCUCGUUUUGUUUAAUCCAGUUGAUCAGACGUGUUGUUGAUUUCGCCGAGCCGACUGUCUAGUCAUUUUUUUCUGAUAAAUAAGAGCGAUCUCUGUGGAUUAAAUUGAACUACAAAUACGAUGAGUACCUUGAAUUCUGUGGAUCGAGUUGAACUGUGCGACAGCCUUUUAACAUGGAUCCAGACGUUUGGAUUGGAGGCACCAUGCAGGACAGUGGACGAUCUCACAAGUGGGAUCGUCAUGGCCCAGGCCCUACAAAAAAUAGACAUUGUGUAUUUCACUGACAACUGGAUCAGUAGGAUCAAGCCCGAGGUGGGAGAUAACUGGCGGCUAAAGAUCAGUAAUCUAAAGAAGGUGUUGAAAGGUAUACUGGACUACAACCAGGAGGUCCUUCAACAGCAGAUCAAUGACUUCACCCUGCCAGACAUCAACCUGAUAGGAGAACACUCAGACGCUGCAGAGCUGGGCAGGAUGCUGCAACUCAUACUGGGCUGUGCUGUCAACUGUGAGCAGAAACAAGAAUACAUCCAGACCAUAAUGAUGCUGGAGGAAUCUGUUCAACAUGUUGUCAUGACAGCCAUUCAGGAGCUGAUGAGCAAAGAGUGUCCUGUAAUGGGAGGAAACGACUCGUACGCCGACAUCGAUAGACAGCUGAAGAAGACAGUGGAGGAUUUGAACGAGGCUCUAGCCACCAAGGAGGAGAUCGCACAGAGAUGUCACGAGCUGGACAUGCAGGCUUUCCAUGUACAGGAGCAGCGAGAUAGACUGAGGUUAGAGUAUAUUGAACUAGAGGAGAGGGUGGCAGCGCUACAGGAGGAGAGGGGUAGUCUCCUGGCCGAGAACCAGAUCCUCAUGGAGCGUCUCAACCAGUCUGACUCCAUAGAAGACCUGAACAGUCCUGUAGGACGUAGGCACCUGCAGCUGCAGACACAGCUAGAACAUCUCCAGGAGGAGACCUUCAGGCUGGAGGCAGCGAAGGAUGACUAUCGUAUCCGUUGUGAGGAGUUGGAGAAGGAGCUGACAGAGCUGAGAGGACAGAAUGAAGAGCUCACCUCCCUGGCUGACGAGGCCCAGACACUGAAGGACGAGAUGGAUGUACUCAGACACUCGUCAGACAAGGUGUCCAAGCUGGAGGUCAUGGUGGAGUCGUAUAAGAAGAAGCUGGAGGACCUGGGAGAUCUGAGGAGACAGGUCAAGCUGUUGGAGGAGAAGAACACUCUGUACAUGCAGAACACUGUCAGUCUGGAGGAGGAAGUACGCAAGGCCAACACCACGAGAGGACAGCUGGAGUCCUACAAGAGACAGGUGGUAGAGCUGCAGAACAAGCUGUCUGAGGAGUCUAAAAAGACAGACAAGAUGGAGUUUGAAUACAAGAGACUCAAGGAGAAGGUGGACUCUCUCCAGAAAGAAAAGGAUCGAAUGAGGUCAGAGAGAGACUCCCUAAAGGAGACCAUUGAGGAGCUGCGUUUUGUUGAGGCUCAGGAAGGACAACUGUCUACAGGCAUGGUUCCACUGGACAGUAACGAGGGCUCUGAUUCGUUGGCUGCAGAGAUCGUCACCCCAGAGAUCCGAGAGAAGCUGAUCAGACUGCAGCAUGAAAACAACAUGCUGAAGCUGGCCCAGGAGGGUUCUGAUAAUGAGAAGAUCGCUCUGCUGCAGAGUUUACUGGAGGACGCUAACAGUAGGAAGAACGAACUGGAGACAGAAAACAGACUGGUGAACCAGAGACUGAUCGAGGGUCAAAGUCAGGUGGAGGAGCUGCAGAGGAGUCUUCAGGAACAGGGCUCCAAAGCAGACGAUGCGAUUUCAAUCAUUCUGAAGAAGAAAAAUGAUGCUCACAUGGAGAAGUUACGGGAAGUGAACAGUGAACUGCAGAAGAAGUGUGCGCACAUCGAUGACUUGGAGCCCAAGUACACCUCUAGUUCCCAGAAAGUAGAGGAACUGGAAGAGGCGUUAAAGAAGAAGGAUGAAGACAUGAAGCAGAUGGAGGACAGAUAUAAGAAGUACCUGGAGAAGGCUAAGAGUGUUAUCCGGACCCUGGAUCCUAAGCAGAACCAGGGCUCGGCACCAGAGGUCCAGACCCUGAAGAACCAGCUGCAGGAGAGGGAAAGGAUGCUGCACUCUCUAGAGAAAGACUACGACAAGACCAAGGCUCAGAGAGACCAGGAGGAGAAACUCAUAGUGUCUGCCUGGUACAACAUGGGCAUGGCUCUACAGAAGAAGGCAGCAGAGGACCGUCUGGCCAGUACGGGUUCCGGACAGUCCUUCCUGGCCCGCCAGAGACAGGCUACCAGCACACGCCGCUCUUACCCCGGAUACCCGGGACCCCAGUCCGCCACCGCCAGGUAGACAUGGCGCCGUGACUCUUCAACCCGACCUUUGACCUCCGACCCUUCCAGGCCAGGUACCACCACGGCCAGUGAUGACAUUACAUGACCAGCGCAGGCAGGGGUGAUGGGCGGGUGCAUGACCAUGGCUUAAUAAUGAGCUGAGCUGAAAAUAACCCUUCAUCAAUUCAACACUAACCCUCAACUCUAACGGAGGACGGGCCGGGGCGGGCGGGCCCAGAUUAUGCCCAGGACUGAGGGGGGGGGGGGGCUGAGGGCUCUCUACAGACCCAGACGGCGCCGCCCUCUCAGAGGCCACCCUAACCUACCCCCCCCCCCCUCCUCCUUCACUCACAGACCUGCAUCUGCUUGCGAACCUCUAUCGUCAUGACAUACUCUGAGACAACAACAGUAGUCUCUAGUGGGGUAACGGGGAGAGCUGGAGCUAGGGCUGGGGAUGAACAAACAAAAAAAACAUUUUAAAGAUUCUUCAUGGAAACCUCUUGUUCUAAAUGUGUGGUGCAAAGCGAGGACUACAUGGAAGACAGUGUUAUUCUUAGUGACCGGAUGGUUUUCUGUAGACUUUGACAAUGACGAUGAUCAAGCGACUAGCAAUACAUGGUUACUGUACUGUAAACCUGGUGUGUAUCUGUUGGGUGUUCCACUCACUUCUCUCUCUUUGUGUUUCACUGGGUCUGAGAGAUAAAGAGCAAUAUCAUCAUUUAUUUAUCACAUGAUCCUCUAAUCAAACGUUGUAUAUACUGAGUGUACAAACAUUAGACUCUGGACUCUACAAGGUGGACUCUACAAGGUGGACUCUACAAGGUGGACUCUACAAGGUGGACUCUACAAGGUGGACUCUACAAGGUGGACUC
This is a non-coding RNA of Oncorhynchus mykiss (rainbow trout), 3348 nucleotides long. NCBI's taxonomy places the organism in Eukaryota, Metazoa, Chordata, Actinopteri, Salmoniformes, Salmonidae. The record is from RefSeq and is a predicted model, not a curated record.